CCUACGGGAGGCAGCAGUGAGGAAUAUUGGUCAAUGGACGCAAGUCUGAACCAGCCAUGCCGCGUGCAGGAAGACGGCUCUAUGAGUUGUAAACUGCUUUUGUACGAGGGUAAACGCAGAUACGCGUAUCUGUCUGAAAGUAUCGUACGAAUAAGGAUCGGCUAACUCCGUGCCAGCAGCCGCGGUAAUACGGAGGAUUCAAGCGUUAUCCGGAUUUAUUGGGUUUAAAGGGUGCGUAGGUGGUCGGAUAAGUUAGAGGUGAAAUCCCGAGGCUCAACUUCGGAAUUGCCUCUGAUACUGUUCGGCUUGAGAGUAGUUGCGGUAGGCGGAAUGUAUGGUGUAGCGGUGAAAUGCUUAGAGAUCAUACAGAACACCGAUUGCGAAGGCAGCUUACCAAGCUACUUCUGACGUUUAGGCACGAAAGCGUGGGGAGCAAACAGGAUUAGAUACCCUUGUAGUC
RNAcentral lists this ribosomal RNA (460 nucleotides) under uncultured bacterium. RNAcentral's name for it is "partial 16S ribosomal RNA". It matches the Rfam family "Bacterial small subunit ribosomal RNA", at positions 338 to 795 of the family's 1533-position model. The record is from RNAcentral.